AGAGCGCAGGGUGGAUGCCUUGGCACUAAGAGCCGAUGAAAGACGUGAUAAGCUGCGAAAAGUCACGGGGAGGAGCAAAUAUCCAUUGAUCCGUGAAUAUCUGAAUGGGGAAACCCACAUGAGAAUACCUCAUGUAUCCAUACGCCAAUCCAUAACGUAUGGAAGGGAACCCGGUGAACUGAAACAUCUAAGUAGCCGGAGGAAGAGAAAGAAAAAUCGAUUUCCAAAGUAGCGGCGAGCGAAAUGGAAAGAGCCCAAACCGGAGUGCGUGCAUUCCGGGGUUCGGACCGCAUAAUUGAUUCAGCAAUUCCAGCAGAACUGUUUUGGGAAAGCAGACCAGAGAGGGUGAAAGUCCCGUAAGCGAAAGAAGAGCUGACAUGGCGGUAUCCAGAGUACAUCGAGACACGAGAAACCUUGAUGGAAUAAGCGGGGACCACCCCGUAAGGCUAAAUACUACUUAGUGACCGAUAGCGCAUAGUACUGUGAAGGAAAGGUGAAAAGGACCCCGGGAGGGGAGUGAAAGAGAACCUGAAACCCUGUGUUUACAAGCUGUGGAAGCACUUUAUAUGUGCGACCGCGUACUUUUUGUAGAACGGUCCGGCGAGUUACGCUUACUGGCGAGGUUAAGGACUUAAGGUCCGGAGCCGAAGGGAAACCAAGUCUUAACAGGGCGAGUUUAGUCAGUAGGAGUAGACCCGAAACCGGGUGAUCUAUCCAUGUCCAGGUUGAAGAUGCCGUAAAAGGCGUUGGAGGACCGAACCCACAUCCGUUGAAAAGGGUGGGGAUGAGGUGUGGAUAGGGGAGAAAUUCCAAUCGAACCCGGAGAUAGCUGGUUCUCCUCGAAAUAGCUUUAGGGCUAGCCUCGUUUUAGUCUUGUGGAGGUAGAGCACUGAAUUUCCGCGGGGGCGUCAAAGCUUACCAAAGAAUAUCAAACUCCGAAUGCCAUUAAGAUGAUGAACGGGAGUCAGACUGUACGAGAUAAGUUGGACAGUCAAAAGGGAAAGAGCCCAGACCACCAGCUAAGGUCCCAAAGUGUGUGUUAAGUGGAAAAGGAUGUGGGGAUUCAAAGACAACUAGGAUGUUGGCUCAGAAGCAGCCAUUCAUUCAAAGAGUGCGUAACAGCUCACUAGUCGAGAGUCCCUGCGCCGAAAAUGUCCGGGGCUGAAACACAACACCGAAGCUGUGGAAUCAUACCUAGUAUGAUUGGUAGAGGAGCAUUCUUAAGACCGACGAAGCUGUACCGAUAAGGAGCAGUGGAGGGAUAAGAAGAGAGAAUGCCGGAAUGAGUAGCGAGAGGAAGGUGAGAAUCCUUCCGGCCGAAUAUCCAAGGAUUCCAGGGUAAAGCUGAUCUGCCCUGGGUAAGUCGGGACCUAAGGAGAGGCCGAGAGGCGUAUCCGAUGGACAACAGGUUUAGAUUCCUGUACCACAUAUGGUCAGAACUGUGGGGACGCAGAAGGAAAGCAUGAGCCAGGAAUGGAAAGACUGGUACAAGCAGAGGGGAUGGUGUGCUGGCAAAUCCGCACACGAAAGUCCUUGCUGUGAUGUGGAGCGAACCAAAGUAGCGAAGCAUGCGGACCGGCUGCCGAGAAAAGCCGCUAUUGUGCCAUAUGNNNNNNNNNNGAGGAUGGUGUGCUGGCAAAUCCGCACACAAAAGUCCUUGCUGUGAUGUGGAGCGAACCAGAGUAGCGAAGCAUGCGGACCGGCUGCCGAGAAAAGCCGCUAUUGUGCCAUAUGUGCCCGUACCGUAAACCGACACAGGUGGAUGAGGAGAGAAUCCUAAGGCCGACGGAAGAAGUAUUGUUAAGGAACUCGGCAAAAUGACCCCGUAACUUCGGGAGAAGGGGUGCCUGAGAAAUCAGGCCGCAGAGAAUAGGCUCAAGCAACUGUUUAGCAAAAACACAGGUCUAUGCAAAACCGAAAGGUGAAGUAUAUGGGCUGACGCCUGCCCGGUGCUGGAAGGUUAAGAGGAGAGGUUAGCGCAAGCGAAGCUUUGAAUUUAAGCCCCAGUAAACGGCGGCCGUAACUAUAACGGUCCUAAGGUAGCGAAAUUCCUUGUCGGGUAAGUUCCGACCCGCACGAAAGGCGUAAUGAUUUGAGCACUGUCUCGACAAUACAUCCGGUGAAAUUGAAGUACCAGUGAAGAUGCUGGUUACCCGCGCCAGGACGGAAAGACCCCAUGGAGCUUUACUCCAGUUUGGUACUGGGAUUCGGUACUGCAUGUACAGGAUAGGUGGGAGACGAAGAAGUUAGGACGCCAGUCUUAACAGAGUCGCUGUUGGGAUACCACCCUUGCAGUAUUGGGUUUCUAACCAGCCGCUGUGAACCAGCGGUGGGACAAUGCCAGGCGGGGAGUUUGACUGGGGCGGUCGCCUCCGAAAGGGUAUCGGAGGCGCUCAAAGGUUCCCUCAGAAUGGUCGGAAACCAUUUAAAGAGUGCAAAGGCAGAAGGGAGCUUGACUGCGACACCGACGGGUGGAGCAGGUACGAAAGUAGGACUUAGUGAUCCGGUGGCAUAAAGUGGGAUUGCCAUCGCUCAACGGAUAAAAGCUACCCUGGGGAUAACAGGCUUAUCACUCCCAAGAGUUCACAUCGACGGAGUGGUUUGGCACCUCGAUGUCGGCUCAUCGCAUCCUGGGGCUGUAGCAGGUCCCAAGGGUUGGGCUGUUCGCCCAUUAAAGCGGUACGCGAGCUGGGUUCAGAACGUCGUGAGACAGUUCGGUCCCUAUCCGGCGCGGGCGUAGGAUAUCUGAGGGGAGCUGGCCUUAGUACGAGAGGACCGGGCUGGACGGACCACUGGUGCAUCAGCUGGAUACCAAAUCCAUAGCUGGGUAGCCAAGUCCGGAAGGGAUAAACGCUGAAGGCAUCUAAGCGUGAAGCCCCCCCCAAGAUGAGAUGUCCCUGU
RNAcentral lists this ribosomal RNA (2901 nucleotides) under Roseburia sp. AF02-12. RNAcentral's name for it is "bacterial LSU rRNA". It matches the Rfam family "Bacterial large subunit ribosomal RNA". Lineage: Bacteria; Bacillati; Bacillota; Clostridia; Lachnospirales; Lachnospiraceae. The record is from RNAcentral.